UACGGAGGGAGCUAGCGUUGUUCGGAAAUACUGGGCGUAAAGCGCACGUAGGCGGCGCAGCAAGUCAGGGGUGAAAUCCCGGGGCUCAACCUCGGAACUGCCCUUGAAACUGCAGUGCUAGAAUCUUGGAGAGGCGAGUGGAAUUCCGAGUGUAGAGGUGAAAUGCUUAGAUAUCGUCAAGAACACCGAUAGCGAAGGCAGCUUACUAGGCUGUAACUGACGCUGAGGCACGAAAGUGUGGGGAUCAAACAGG
RNAcentral lists this ribosomal RNA (253 nucleotides) under uncultured bacterium. RNAcentral's name for it is "partial 16S ribosomal RNA". It matches the Rfam family "Bacterial small subunit ribosomal RNA", at positions 524 to 776 of the family's 1533-position model. The record is from RNAcentral.